This 497-nucleotide ribosomal RNA is filed under the name uncultured bacterium. RNAcentral's name for it is "partial 16S ribosomal RNA". It matches the Rfam family "Bacterial small subunit ribosomal RNA", at positions 28 to 507 of the family's 1533-position model. The record is from RNAcentral.
GAUGACCGCCGCCGGCGCCCCUAUUAUAUGGAAGCCGAGCGAACAGACGAGGAGCUUUCUCCUCUGACGUUAGCGGCGGCCGGGGUCGUAACACGUGGUUAACCUCCCUUUAAGCCUGGGCUAACUUCGGGAAACCGGAGCUAAUACAUGGUAAUAUAUUUAACCGCACGGUUCAAUAGUCAAAAACGAUUUUGCUUUCACUUAUAGAUGUCUCCGCGCAGCAUUAUCUAGUUGGUAAGGUAACGGCUUACCAAGGCAACUAUGCCUAGCCGACCUGAGAGGGUGAUCGGCCACAAUGGAACUGAGACACGGUCCAGACUCCUACGGGAGGUAGAAGUAGGGAAUCUUCCGCAAUGGGUGAAAGCCUGACGGAGCAACGCCGCGUGAGUGAUGAAGGUCUUCGGAUCGUAAAACUCUGUUAUUAGGGAAGAACAAAUGGGUAAGUAACUAUGCACGUCUUGACGGUACCUAAUCAGAAAGCCACGGCUAACCACGUG